This is a non-coding RNA of Paramuricea clavata, 1028 nucleotides long. The record is from the annotation of a GenBank genome assembly. NCBI's taxonomy places the organism in Eukaryota, Metazoa, Cnidaria, Anthozoa, Malacalcyonacea, Plexauridae.
GUGGAAAUUUCGCAAUAAAUUUUUCGCUUUUAAAAAAAUCACACACUACAGAAUUUUUUUAAACUUUCACCACAGUUGCAGAGCAUCAUUCCCUAUUGAUAUAUGAAAUAAAAAAAGAUAGGUCACCGACAUCGUUUUUGAGAUAGCGGCACAUUUAUGGGUUAAAUUGGAAGGCUUUAUGCUGUCGUCAUGUUGCCAUGGGAACAUUGACAUCGUCGAAAUCUAGUUCGAAAUAUUUUUUAGGUGACCAAUAUUGCCACCAAGUCGAAAAGAAUUCGCGUUCUGCACAAAUAAGCCUGUUUUACGGAAUUAUUGCUUAAACAAGAAUAACUGUAGGGAGCCACCUUAAAAGAGCCGUGUGAAUCCAUUACCGUUUGCUAUGCUCUUGUAUCCACGAAGGUAAAACUCUUAUUGUGAGGUUGUCGACGUUUGGCGGACGACGAGCAAAUUGAGAGAGACACAUGCACACUUCAAAAACUAUGACCAAUUUACUUCUGCUUGCCGCCUUAAAUAUUUGACGUCGUAGAUACUUGAGGUAUCGACUUAUUUGGGACAACGUCCUAGUCCAAGUCCUCUGCUUAGCCCCGACGUCCUAGCUGGCGUCGACGUCGUAGAUCUUAAGUUAUCUAUUGUCUAGUGUCUAAAACGUUCUAAAACUUAUUAGAAGAGAUUUGGGAAGCUAUAUCUUUCAAGUUACAUAGAAAAAUACAUUUGUUUGAUAAUGUAGCUAACUUAAACACUUCGCGGUGCGAUCUGCAGAGAUUUUGAUUUUUGACAGACUUUAUUAAAAUCUCAUCUCAUGAAUAUACAGGUUUCUAAAUUGGUUCAUUGAAUUCAAAUGGUACUCAGUCCAGUCCUAGCUUUGUUCAGUUGUUCAGGCUGAUUGUGAUUAGGUCUGUUCAUUGUUCUAAAAAUCAUGUCAGUUUACUGCGUUUUUUUCACUUAACUGGGUUACUGAAUUUCUGCCUGAUCGCUAAGUACCCCCCCCCCUCUCGAAUAAGCAUUCUUCAAACGUGCCAGAAAUGAAC